UACGUAGGUGACAAGCGUUAAUCGGAAUUACUGGGCGUAAAGCGUGCGCAGGCGGCUUUGCAAGACAGAUGUGAAAUCCCCGGGCUUAACCUGGGAACUGCAUUUGUGACUGCAUGGCUAGAGUGCGGCAGAGGGGGAUGGAAUUCCGCGUGUAGCAGUGAAAUGCGUAGAUAUGCGGAGGAACACCGAUGGCGAAGGCAAUCCCCUGGGCCUGCACUGACGCUCAUGCACGAAAGCGUGGGGAGCAAACAGG
RNAcentral lists this ribosomal RNA (253 nucleotides) under uncultured bacterium. RNAcentral describes it as "partial 16S ribosomal RNA". It matches the Rfam family "Bacterial small subunit ribosomal RNA", at positions 524 to 776 of the family's 1533-position model. The record is from RNAcentral.